UCUGGUAUUGAUUGGUGCUUGCAUCAUGAUUUACAUUUGAGUGAGUGGCGAACUGGUGAGUAACACGUGGGAAACCUGCCCAGAAGCGGGGGAUAACACCUGGAAACAGAUGCUAAUACCGCAUAACAACUUGGACCGCAUGGUCCGAGUUUGAAAGAUGGCUUCGGCUAUCACUUUUGGAUGGUCCCGCGGCGUAUUAGCUAGAUGGUGAGGUAACGGCUCACCAUGGCAAUGAUACGUAGCCGACCUGAGAGGGUAAUCGGCCACAUUGGGACUGAGACACGGCCCAAACUCCUACGGGAGGCAGCAGUAGGGAAUCUUCCACAAUGGACGAAAGUCUGAUGGAGCAACGCCGCGUGAGUGAAGAAGGGUUUCGGCUCGUAAAACUCUGUUGUUAAAGAAGAACAUAUCUGAGAGUAACUGUUCAGGUAUUGACGGUAUUUAACCAGAAAGCCACGGCUAACUACGUGCCAGCAGCCGCGGUAAUACGUAGGUGGCAAGCGUUGUCCGGAUUUAUUGGGCGUAAAGCGAGCGCAGGCGGUUUUUUAAGUCUGAUGUGAAAGCCUUCGGCUCAACCGAA
Molecule: ribosomal RNA, 580 nt
Filed under: Lactiplantibacillus plantarum
Lineage: Bacteria; Bacillati; Bacillota; Bacilli; Lactobacillales; Lactobacillaceae
Description: bacterial SSU rRNA
Rfam family: Bacterial small subunit ribosomal RNA
Source: RNAcentral